RNAcentral lists this ribosomal RNA (269 nucleotides) under uncultured Staphylococcus sp. RNAcentral describes it as "partial 16S ribosomal RNA". It matches the Rfam family "Bacterial small subunit ribosomal RNA", at positions 98 to 354 of the family's 1533-position model. The record is from RNAcentral. Lineage: Bacteria; Bacillati; Bacillota; Bacilli; Caryophanales; Staphylococcaceae.
CGGGACGGGUGAGUAACACGUGGAUAACCUACCUAUAAGACUGGGAUAACUUCGGGAAACCGGAGCUAAUACCGGAUAAUAUAUUGAACCGAAUGGUUCAAUGGUGAAAGACGGUUUUGCUGUCACUUAUAGAUGGAUCCGCGCCGCAUUAGCUAGUUGGUAAGAUAACGGCUUACCAAGGCAACGAUGCGUAGCCGACCUGAGAGGGUGAUCGGCCACACUGGAACUGAGACACGGUCCAGACUCCUACGGGAGGCAGCAGAUACCUA